CCUACGGGAGGCUGCAGUGGGGAAUAUUGGACAAUGGGCGAAAGCCUGAUCCAGCCAUGCCGCGUGUGUGAAGAAGGCCUUCGGGUUGUAAAGCACUUUCAGUGGGGAAGAAAGCCUUGGGGCUAAUACCCUCGAGGAAGGACAUCACCCACAGAAGAAGCACCGGCUAACUCCGUGCCAGCAGCCGCGGUAAUACGGAGGGUGCGAGCGUUAAUCGGAAUUACUGGGCGUAAAGCGCGCGUAGGCGGUCUGAUAAGCCGGUUGUGAAAGCCCCGGGCUCAACCUGGGAACGGCAUCCGGAACUGUCAGGCUAGAGUGCAGGAGAGGAAGGUAGAAUUCCCGGUGUAGCGGUAAAAUGCGUAGAGAUCGGGAGGAAUACCAGUGGCGAAGGCGGCCUUCUGGACUGACACUGACGCUGAGGUGCGAAAGCGUGGGUAGCAAACAGGAUUAGAUACCCGGGUAGUC
Molecule: ribosomal RNA, 465 nt
Filed under: Vreelandella stevensii
Lineage: Bacteria; Pseudomonadati; Pseudomonadota; Gammaproteobacteria; Oceanospirillales; Halomonadaceae
Description: partial 16S ribosomal RNA
Rfam family: Bacterial small subunit ribosomal RNA
Source: RNAcentral